Molecule: ribosomal RNA, 381 nt
Filed under: uncultured eukaryote
Lineage: Eukaryota
Description: SSU rRNA
Rfam family: Eukaryotic small subunit ribosomal RNA
Source: RNAcentral
AGCUCCAAUAGCGUAUAUUAAAGUUGUUGCGGUUAAAAAGCUCGUAGUUGGAUUUCUGUCGAAAACAACCGGUCCGCUCUAUGAGCGUGUAUCUGGUCUGGUUUUGGCAUCCUCGUGGGGAACAGCUCUGUGCUUGAUUGCAUGGACUGGUAUUCACGACUUUUACUUUGAGGAAAUUAGAGUGUUCACGGCAGGCAAGCGCCUUGAAUACAUUAGCAUGGAAUAAUAAUAUAGGACUUUGGUUCUAUUUUGUUGGUUUCUAGAACUAAAGUAAUGAUUAAUAGGGAUAAUUGGGGGCAUUUGUAUUAACGCGUCAGAGGUGGAAUUCUUGGAUUGCGUUACGACAAACUACUGCGAAAGCAUUUGCCAAGGAUGUUUUCA